GACGAACGCUGGCGGUGUGCUUCACACAUGCAAGUCGAACGAGGUAGCAAUACCUAGUGGCGGACGGGUGAGUAACGCGUGGGAAUCUGCCUUUAGAUGGGGGAUAACGGGUCGAAAGACUCGCUAAUACCGCAUAUGACGAAAGUUGAAAGGAGUAAUCCCGUCUAAAGAUGAGCCCGCGUCCGAUCAGCUAGUUGGUAGAGUAAAAGCCUACCAAGGCGACGAUCGGUAGCUGGUCUGAGAGGAUGAUCAGCCACAAUGGGACUAGAGACACGGCCCAUACUCCUACGGGAGGCAGCAGUGGGAAUUUACGCAAUGGGCGAAAGCCUGACGUAGCGACACCGCGUGAGCGAAGAAGCCCCUUGGGGUGUAAAGCUCUGUCAGCUGGAACGAAAAAAAUGACGGUACCAGCAGAGGAAGCAUCGGCUAACUACGUGCCAGCAGCCGCGGUAAU
This 454-nucleotide ribosomal RNA is filed under the name uncultured bacterium. RNAcentral's name for it is "bacterial SSU rRNA". It matches the Rfam family "Bacterial small subunit ribosomal RNA", at positions 28 to 524 of the family's 1533-position model. The record is from RNAcentral.